This 301-nucleotide ribosomal RNA is filed under the name uncultured bacterium. RNAcentral's name for it is "partial 16S ribosomal RNA". It matches the Rfam family "Bacterial small subunit ribosomal RNA", at positions 509 to 807 of the family's 1533-position model. The record is from RNAcentral.
CAGCCGCCGCGGUAAAACGGAGGGUGCAAGCGUUAAUCGGAAUUACUGGGCGUAAAGCGCACGCAGGCGGUCUGUCAAGUCAGAUGUGAAAUCCCCGGGCUUAACCUGGGAACUGCAUUUGAAACUGGCAGGCUAGAGUCUUGUAGAGGGGGGUAGAAUUCCAGGUGUAGCGGUGAAAUGCGUAGAGAUCUGGAGGAAUACCGGUGGCGAAGGCGGCCCCCUGGACAAAGACUGACGCUCAGGUGCGAAAGCGUGGGGAGCAAACAGGAUUAGAUACCCCAGUAGUCCCUGUCUCUUAUAC